GUUGGGCAGGGUAGUGCAUGCCUGUAAUCCCAGAUACUUGGGAGGCUGAGGCAGGAGUAUCACAAGUUUGAGGCCAGCCUGAACAAUUUAGUGAGACCCUCCCUCAA
This 107-nucleotide small RNA is filed under the name Marmota monax (woodchuck). The record is from RNAcentral. Lineage: Eukaryota; Metazoa; Chordata; Mammalia; Rodentia; Sciuridae.